UUAACUACCUCAAAGGGGAGAUACUAUGAUCAUGAAGGUGGUUUCCCCAGGGCAAGUCUUAUCGGUUGCACUCCAGAUGUGCUGACUCCUGCAAUUUCCCCAAAUGUGGGAAAUUUGACUACAUAAUUUGUGGUAGUGUGGGACUGUGUUCACGCUCUCCCCAA
This is a small nuclear RNA of Aotus nancymaae (Ma's night monkey), 164 nucleotides long. Its record names the gene U1. It matches the Rfam family "U1 spliceosomal RNA". From Rfam's summary of the family: U1 is a small nuclear RNA (snRNA) component of the spliceosome (involved in pre-mRNA splicing). Its 5' end forms complementary base pairs with the 5' splice junction, thus defining the 5' donor site of an intron. NCBI's taxonomy places the organism in Eukaryota, Metazoa, Chordata, Mammalia, Primates, Aotidae. The record is from Ensembl.